This 253-nucleotide ribosomal RNA is filed under the name uncultured bacterium. RNAcentral's name for it is "partial 16S ribosomal RNA". It matches the Rfam family "Bacterial small subunit ribosomal RNA", at positions 524 to 776 of the family's 1533-position model. The record is from RNAcentral.
UACGUAGGGACCGAGCGUUGUCCGGAAUCAUUGGGCGUAAAGAGCGUGUAGGCGGCCACUUAAGUCCUGCGUGAAAUCUUGCGGCUCAACCGCAAGCGGUCGUGGGAAACUGGGUGGCUAGAGUGCGGGAGAGGAGAGUGGAAUUCCUGGUGUAGCGGUGGAAUGCGCAGAUAUCUGGAGGAAUACCGGUGGCGAAGGCGGCAUCCUGGACCGACAUUGACGCUGAGGAGCGAAAGCCAGGGGAGCAAACGGG